RNAcentral lists this long non-coding RNA (276 nucleotides) under Mytilus galloprovincialis (Mediterranean mussel). Lineage: Eukaryota; Metazoa; Mollusca; Bivalvia; Mytilida; Mytilidae. The record is from RNAcentral.
GGUGGGGUUCGUGUUGUUAAUUCUUUAGUUUUUUAUGUCAUGUCAUAUGUACUAUUGUUUUUCUGUUCGUCUUUUUUUCAUUUUUAGCCAUGGCGUUGUCGAUUUAUGAGUUUGACUCUCCCUUUGGUAUCUUUCGUCCCUCUUUUAUAGUUUUUUUUUUGUAAAUUUUAUCAAAAUGUUUUCCUCUGUAAACAUUGGGCCAAGUUCAAUAUAAAUUGAGAUAAUUGUAAGAAGCAAGAAUGUUCAGUAAAGUAAGAUCUACAAACAUAUCCAUAU